UAACACAUGCAAGUCGAGGGGAAACGACAUCGAAAGCUUGCUUUUGAUGGGCGUCGACCGGCGCACGGGUGAGUAACGCGUAUCCAACCUGCCCACCACUUGGGGAUAACCUUGCGAAAGUAAGACUAAUACCCAAUGAUAUCUCUAGAAGACAUCUGAAAGAGAUUAAAGAUUUACCGGUGAUGGAUGGGGAUGCGUCUGAUUAGCUUGUUGGCGGGGUAACGGCCCACCAAGGCAACGAUCAGUAGGGGUUCUGAGAGGAAGGUCCCCCACAUUGGAACUGAGACACGGUCCAAACUCCUACGGGAGGCAGCAGUGAGGAAUAUUGGUCAAUGGACGAGAGUCUGAACCAGCCAAGUAGCGUGCAGGAUGACGGCCCUAUGGGUUGUAAACUGCUUUUAUAAGGGAAUAAAGUGAGUCUCGUGAGACUUUUUGCAUGUACCUUAUGAAUAAGGACCGGCUAAUUCCGUGCCAGCAGCCGCGGUAAUACGGAAGGUCCGGGCGUUAUCCGGAUUUAUUGGGUUUAAAGGGAGCGUAGGCCGGAGAUUAAGCGUGUUGUGAAAUGUAGAUGCUCAACAUCUGCACUGCAGCGCGAACUGGUUUCCUUGAGUACGCACAAAGUGGGCGGAAUUCGUGGUGUAGCGGUGAAAUGCUUAGAUAUCACGAAGAACUCCGAUUGCGAAGGCAGCUCACUGGAGCGCAACUGACGCUGAAGCUCGAAAGUGCGGG
Molecule: ribosomal RNA, 729 nt
Filed under: uncultured bacterium
Lineage: Bacteria
Description: bacterial SSU rRNA
Rfam family: Bacterial small subunit ribosomal RNA
Source: RNAcentral